Molecule: ribosomal RNA, 481 nt
Filed under: uncultured bacterium
Lineage: Bacteria
Description: partial 16S ribosomal RNA
Rfam family: Bacterial small subunit ribosomal RNA
Source: RNAcentral
GAUGAACGCUGGCGGCGUGCCUAACACAUGCAAGUCGAGCGAAGCGCUUAAAUUAGCUUUCUUCGGAAUGACGAUUUUUGUGACUGAGCGGCGGACGGGUGAGUAACGCGUGGGUAACCUGCCUCAUACAGGGGGAUAACAGUUAGAAAUGACUGCUAAUACCGCAUAAGACCCCAGCUUCGCAUGAAGCGGUGGUAAAAACUCCGGUGGUAUGAGAUGGACCCGCGUCUGAUUAGCUAGUUGGUAAGGUAACGGCUUACCAAGGCGACGAUCAGUAGCCGACCUGAGAGGGUGACCGGCCACAUUGGGACUGAGACACGGCCCAGACUCCUACGGGAGGCAGCAGUGGGGAAUAUUGCACAAUGGGGGAAACCCUGAUGCAGCGACGCCGCGCGAAGGAUGAAGUAUUUCGGUAUGUAAACUUCUAUCAGCAGGGAAGAAAGUGACGGUACCUGACUAAGAAGCCCCGGCUAACUACGUG